GGGUGGUAAAUUCCAUCUAAGGCUAAAUACUGGCGAGAGACCGAUAGCGAACAAGUACUGUGAAGGAAAGAUGAAAAGCACUUUGAAAAGAGAUUGAAACAGCACGUGAAAUUGUUGAAAGGGAAGGGUAUUGGGCCCGACAUGGGAAUCGCGCACCGCUGCUCCUCGUGGGCGGCGCUCUGCGCUUUUCCUGGGCCAGCAUCGGUUUCCGCUGCAGGAGAAGGGGCUGUGGAAUGUGGCUGGCACGCUUGCGCGCCAGUGUUAUAGCCACGGGCCAGAUGCUGCGUGUGGGGACCGAGGGCUGCGACGGCAACGUCUCGGAUGCUGGCACAACGGCGCAAUACCGCCCGUCUUGAAACACGGAC
This 365-nucleotide ribosomal RNA is filed under the name Pichia norvegensis. RNAcentral's name for it is "eukaryotic LSU rRNA". It matches the Rfam family "Eukaryotic large subunit ribosomal RNA", at positions 294 to 666 of the family's 3401-position model. The record is from RNAcentral. Lineage: Eukaryota; Fungi; Ascomycota; Pichiomycetes; Pichiales; Pichiaceae.